GGGCCUGUGGCUCAGGGGCAGAGUACUCACCUCGCAUGUGUGAGGCCCUGAGUUCAAUCCUUAGUCCCA
This 69-nucleotide transfer RNA is filed under the name Marmota marmota marmota (Alpine marmot). It matches the Rfam family "tRNA". From Rfam's summary of the family: Transfer RNA (tRNA) molecules are approximately 80 nucleotides in length. Their secondary structure includes four short double-helical elements and three loops (D, anti-codon, and T loops). Lineage: Eukaryota; Metazoa; Chordata; Mammalia; Rodentia; Sciuridae. RNAcentral also lists the same sequence under 1 other name. The record is from Rfam by way of RNAcentral.